GAGGGUUUGAUCCUGGCUCAGAUUGAACGCUGGCGGCAGGCCUAACACAUGCAAGUCGAGCGGAUGAAGGGAGCUUGCUCCUGGAUUCAGCGGCGGACGGGUGAGUAAUGCCUAGGAAUCUGCCUGGUAGUGGGGGAUAACGUCCGGAAACGGGCGCUAAUACCGCAUACGUCCUGAGGGAGAAAGUGGGGGAUCUUCGGACCUCACGCUAUCAGAUGAGCCUAGGUCGGAUUAGCUAGUUGGUGGGGUAAAGGCCUACCAAGGCGACGAUCCGUAACUGGUCUGAGAGGAUGAUCAGUCACACUGGAACUGAGACACGGUCCAGACUCCUACGGGAGGCAGCAGUGGGGAAUAUUGGACAAUGGGCGAAAGCCUGAUCCAGCCAUGCCGCGUGUGUGAAGAAGGUCUUCGGAUUGUAAAGCACUUUAAGUUGGGAGGAAGGGCAGUAAGUUAAUACCUUGCUGUUUUGACGUUACCAACAGAAUAAGCACCGGCUAACUUCGUGCCAGCAGCCGCGGUAAUACGAAGGGUGCAAGCGUUAAUCGGAAUUACUGGGCGUAAAGCGGGCGUAGGUGGUUCAGCAAGUUGGAUGUGAAAUCCCCGGGCUCAACCUGGGAACUGCAUCCAAAACUACUGAGCUAGAGUACGGUAGAGGGUGGUGGAAUUUCCUGUGUAGCGGUGAAAUGCGUAGAUAUAGGAAGGAACACCAGUGGCGAAGGCGACCACCUGGACUGAUACUGACACUGAGGUGCGAAAGCGUGGGGAGCAAACAGGAUUAGAUACCCCUGGUAGUCCACGCCGUAAACGAUGUC
Molecule: ribosomal RNA, 812 nt
Filed under: uncultured bacterium
Lineage: Bacteria
Description: bacterial SSU rRNA
Rfam family: Bacterial small subunit ribosomal RNA
Source: RNAcentral